GCCAGCAGCUAUAUCACCCUGCAGCUCUCAGCUGGCUUCCCACUGAAGCUAAGCAGGUCUGAGCCUGGUCAGUACCUGGAUGGAGACUUCCAGGGAAACUAUGGUUGCUCCUGGAA
This 116-nucleotide ribosomal RNA is filed under the name Lepisosteus oculatus (spotted gar). The record is from RNAcentral. Lineage: Eukaryota; Metazoa; Chordata; Actinopteri; Semionotiformes; Lepisosteidae.